This is a long non-coding RNA of Siniperca chuatsi (mandarin fish), 1196 nucleotides long. RefSeq lists it as uncharacterized. The transcript is spliced from 4 exons. The record is from RefSeq and is a predicted model, not a curated record. Lineage: Eukaryota; Metazoa; Chordata; Actinopteri; Centrarchiformes; Sinipercidae.
CUACUGCUAUAACCGAAUGGGAAAGAGUGAUUUUCCAUUGAGUGAUACUCAAUAGUUCUUUUAUAACUACAUACGAAGUGGAUUUCCAGUAUUCGGCUUUUAGGGUCUGACAGCAUGGAAACUGCAAACUGCUGGUGGCAGCUGUAAAGGGGAUUUUUAUGUAGAAGACCUACAGGACUUGCAUGGGAAUCACCUGAUUGACACCCAUAACAGACAGGGUUUACUGGAGUCUUAACCCAAAGACACCAUCAGCCACACAGUCUCCAUGCUACCACUCCUGGUCUGUGGCUGAUGUCGCCUGCCUUCCCUGGGAGAGCAUUAGUGAUGUAGGGUGUGUCCAUUCAGUCCUGUUCAGAUGGCAAAACAAGAAUCAGGGGAGCGUGGAGCUGCAGACGAGCUACAUACACACCCAAGUCAUGACCAGAGUAGAUGUAGAUGACCACACCGGAACAAUAGUAGCCUUGAGGAAGCAGAAAAGGCCUGCAGCAGAGAAAGUUCACAAGCCAAUGAAGGAAUGUUGUCCACUUAAGAGAGGCUUGUAGAGAGCCUCAUUGGUCGCAUUGUGUCUUUAUCUUGUCAGAGAUGAGGACCUUUUGUACUGCAGAUGAUAUGUUAGCGUAUUUCCUCUACUUGUUUGUCUCCAUUCAUAUUGUGAUUGCUGGAUGAUAACAUUUCAAGCAUUCAAAGUCUACAUGUCUGUGUAAAAAGCAAACCAUAAAUAAGACAACUGUCAUGCAGAUAGUGAUUAUGUGUUUGCCUAGUGAAGUUGUGUGUCUGCAUCUGCACCUGUGUGUUUGAAGGAUUUCAAAUGAUUAGUAUUGUUUAGCGCGGCAACCAUUUAAAGGUCUAUAAUUCUUUAUUUGCCCACAUUUAGCAUCUGCUUGCCUCCUGCCUGUUAUAAAGAGAAUGGUUAGCCUAAUCAGGGUCUUCUGUGGGGGUGGGCUGGGCUUAUUUGCCAAUUGACAUUUGGUGAAAGGGUGUUAGAUGAAAAAAGCACCUCACACCAUGAGGUAGAAGCCUCACACCAAAACUCAUUUCAGACAUGUUGUGUUUGUGUGUAAAGAGGAGCUUGUGUUUGUGUGUAAAGAGGAACUCGUUUUGCCACUGUCUACUCAGAGCAGAACACACUCUCUCCGAGCUGUGUGAAGUGUGUUGAUCUGUGCCCAUAAACUUUUGUUUAAAAACUGUUUUAUGUA